RNAcentral lists this ribosomal RNA (2990 nucleotides) under Pseudomonas aeruginosa. Its description in RNAcentral is "23S ribosomal RNA". It matches the Rfam family "Bacterial large subunit ribosomal RNA". The record is from RNAcentral. Lineage: Bacteria; Pseudomonadati; Pseudomonadota; Gammaproteobacteria; Pseudomonadales; Pseudomonadaceae.
GGUCAAGUGAAGAAGCGCAUACGGUGGAUGCCUUGGCAGUCAGAGGCGAUGAAAGACGUGGUAGCCUGCGAAAAGCUUCGGGGAGUCGGCAAACAGACUUUGAUCCGGAGAUCUCUGAAUGGGGGAACCCACCUAGGAUAACCUAGGUAUCUUGUACUGAAUCCAUAGGUGCAAGAGGCGAACCAGGGGAACUGAAACAUCUAAGUACCCUGAGGAAAAGAAAUCAACCGAGAUUCCCUUAGUAGUGGCGAGCGAACGGGGAUUAGCCCUUAAGCUUCAUUGAUUUUAGCGGAACGCUCUGGAAAGUGCGGCCAUAGUGGGUGAUAGCCCCGUACGCGAAAGGAUCUUUGAAGUGAAAUCGAGUAGGACGGAGCACGAGAAACUUUGUCUGAACAUGGGGGGACCAUCCUCCAAGGCUAAAUACUACUGACUGACCGAUAGUGAACCAGUACCGUGAGGGAAAGGCGAAAAGAACCCCGGAGAGGGGAGUGAAAUAGAACCUGAAACCGUAUGCGUACAAGCAGUGGGAGCCUACUUGUUAGGUGACUGCGUACCUUUUGUAUAAUGGGUCAGCGACUUAUAUUCAGUGGCAAGCUUAACCGUAUAGGGUAGGCGUAGCGAAAGCGAGUCUUAAUAGGGCGUUUAGUCGCUGGGUAUAGACCCGAAACCGGGCGAUCUAUCCAUGAGCAGGUUGAAGGUUAGGUAACACUGACUGGAGGACCGAACCCACUCCCGUUGAAAAGGUAGGGGAUGACUUGUGGAUCGGAGUGAAAGGCUAAUCAAGCUCGGAGAUAGCUGGUUCUCCUCGAAAGCUAUUUAGGUAGCGCCUCAUGUAUCACUCUGGGGGGUAGAGCACUGUUUCGGCUAGGGGGUCAUCCCGACUUACCAAACCGAUGCAAACUCCGAAUACCCAGAAGUGCCGAGCAUGGGAGACACACGGCGGGUGCUAACGUCCGUCGUGAAAAGGGAAACAACCCAGACCGCCAGCUAAGGUCCCAAAGUUGUGGUUAAGUGGUAAACGAUGUGGGAAGGCUUAGACAGCUAGGAGGUUGGCUUAGAAGCAGCCAUNNNNNNNNNNNNNNNNNNNNNNNNNNNNNNNNNNNNNNNNNNNNNNNNNNNNNNNNNNNNNNNNNNNNNNNNNNNNNNNNNNNNNNNNNNNNNNNGACCCCUUUAAAGAAAGCGUAAUAGCUCACUAGUCGAGUCGGCCUGCGCGGAAGAUGUAACGGGGCUCAAACCACACACCGAAGCUGCGGGUGUCACGUAAGUGACGCGGUAGAGGAGCGUUCUGUAAGCCUGUGAAGGUGAGUUGAGAAGCUUGCUGGAGGUAUCAGAAGUGCGAAUGCUGACAUGAGUAACGACAAUGGGUGUGAAAAACACCCACGCCGAAAGACCAAGGGUUCCUGCGCAACGUUAAUCGACGCAGGGUUAGUCGGUUCCUAAGGCGAGGCUGAAAAGCGUAGUCGAUGGGAAACAGGUUAAUAUUCCUGUACUUCUGGUUACUGCGAUGGAGGGACGGAGAAGGCUAGGCCAGCUUGGCGUUGGUUGUCCAAGUUUAAGGUGGUAGGCUGAAAUCUUAGGUAAAUCCGGGGUUUCAAGGCCGAGAGCUGAUGACGAGUCGUCUUUUAGAUGACGAAGUGGUUGAUGCCAUGCUUCCAAGAAAAGCUUCUAAGCUUCAGGUAACCAGGAACCGUACCCCAAACCGACACAGGUGGUCGGGUAGAGAAUACCAAGGCGCUUGAGAGAACUCGGGUGAAGGAACUAGGCAAAAUGGCACCGUAACUUCGGGAGAAGGUGCGCCGGCUAGGGUGAAGGAUUUACUCCGUAAGCUCUGGCUGGUCGAAGAUACCAGGCCGCUGCGACUGUUUAUUAAAAACACAGCACUCUGCAAACACGAAAGUGGACGUAUAGGGUGUGACGCCUGCCCGGUGCCGGAAGGUUAAUUGAUGGGGUUAGCGCAAGCGAAGCUCUUGAUCGAAGCCCCGGUAAACGGCGGCCGUAACUAUAACGGUCCUAAGGUAGCGAAAUUCCUUGUCGGGUAAGUUCCGACCUGCACGAAUGGCGUAACGAUGGCGGCGCUGUCUCCACCCGAGACUCAGUGAAAUUGAAAUCGCUGUGAAGAUGCAGUGUAUCCGCGGCUAGACGGAAAGACCCCGUGAACCUUUACUGUAGCUUUGCACUGGACUUUGAGCCUGCUUGUGUAGGAUAGGUGGGAGGCUUUGAAGCGUGGACGCCAGUUCGCGUGGAGCCAUCCUUGAAAUACCACCCUGGCAUGCUUGAGGUUCUAACUCUGGUCCGUGAUCCGGAUCGAGGACAGUGUAUGGUGGGCAGUUUGACUGGGGCGGUCUCCUCCUAAAGAGUAACGGAGGAGUACGAAGGUGCGCUCAGACCGGUCGGAAAUCGGUCGCAGAGUAUAAAGGCAAAAGCGCGCUUGACUGCGAGACAGACACGUCGAGCAGGUACGAAAGUAGGUCUUAGUGAUCCGGUGGUUCUGUAUGGAAGGGCCAUCGCUCAACGGAUAAAAGGUACUCCGGGGAUAACAGGCUGAUACCGCCCAAGAGUUCAUAUCGACGGCGGUGUUUGGCACCUCGAUGUCGGCUCAUCACAUCCUGGGGCUGAAGCCGGUCCCAAGGGUAUGGCUGUUCGCCAUUUAAAGUGGUACGCGAGCUGGGUUUAGAACGUCGUGAGACAGUUCGGUCCCUAUCUGCCGUGGACGUUUGAGAUUUGAGAGGGGCUGCUCCUAGUACGAGAGGACCGGAGUGGACGAACCUCUGGUGUUCCGGUUGUCACGCCAGUGGCAUUGCCGGGUAGCUAUGUUCGGAAAAGAUAACCGCUGAAAGCAUCUAAGCGGGAAACUUGCCUCAAGAUGAGAUCUCACUGGGAACUUGAUUCCCCUGAAGGGCCGUCGAAGACUACGACGUUGAUAGGCUGGGUGUGUAAGCGUUGUGAGGCGUUGAGCUAACCAGUACUAAUUGCCCGUGAGGCUUGACCAU